AUUGAACGCUGGCGGCAUGCUUUACACAUGCAAGUCGGACGGCAGCACAGAGAAGCUUGCUUCUUGGGUGGCGAGUGGCGAACGGGUGAGUAACAUAUCGGAACGUACCGAGCAGUGGGGGAUAACUAAUCGAAAGAUUAGCUAAUACCGCAUAUCUUCUGAGGAAGAAAGCAGGGGACCAUUUGGCCUUGCGCUGUUUGAGCGGCCGCUAUCUGAUUAGCUAGUUGGUGGGGUAAAGGCCUACCAAGGCGACGAUCAGUAGCGGGUCUGAGAGGAUGAUCCGCCACACUGGGACUGAGACACGGCCCAGACUCCUACGGGAGGCAGCAGUGGGGAAUUUUGGACAAUGGGCGCAAGCCUGAUCCAGCCAUGCCGCGUGUCUGAAGAAGGCCUUCGGGUUGUAAAGGACUUUUGUCAGGGAAGAAAAGGGCGGGGUUAAUACCCCUGUCUGAUGACGGUACCUGAAGAAUAAGCACCGGCUAACUACGUG
Molecule: ribosomal RNA, 490 nt
Filed under: uncultured bacterium
Lineage: Bacteria
Description: partial 16S ribosomal RNA
Rfam family: Bacterial small subunit ribosomal RNA
Source: RNAcentral